This 1394-nucleotide ribosomal RNA is filed under the name Pseudobensingtonia musae. Its description in RNAcentral is "eukaryotic LSU rRNA". It matches the Rfam family "Eukaryotic large subunit ribosomal RNA", at positions 71 to 1454 of the family's 3401-position model. The record is from RNAcentral. Lineage: Eukaryota; Fungi; Basidiomycota; Agaricostilbomycetes; Agaricostilbales; Agaricostilbaceae.
AGGAUUCCCCUAGUAACGGCGAGUGAAGCGGGAAGAGCUCAACUUUGUAAUCUGGCUGCUUCGCAGUCCGAGUUGUAGUCUAUAGAAGCAUGAUCCGCGCCGGACCUUGGCCAUGUCUGUUGGAAAGCAGUGUCAAAGAGGGUGAUAAUCCCGUACAUACCAAGGACGACCGUGUGCAUUGUGGUCUGCUCUCUAAGAGUCGAGUUGUUUGGGAAUGCAGCUCUAAUCGGGUGGUAAAUUCCAUCUAAAGCUAAAUACCGACGAGAGACCGAUAGCGAACAAGUACAGUAAUGGAAAGAUGAAAAGUAGCCUGCAGAGGCAAUGAAACAAUACGUGAAACCGUUUGUAGGGAAACGAUGGAACCUUUUCACGCUGCAGGGGCUCAGCCUGGCUUCGGCUUGGUGUAUUCCCCUGUUUUGCGGGCCAGCAUCAGUUUGCUUUGCGGUAUAAGGGUGAUUGGAAUGUGGCUCCCACGGGAGUGUUAUAGCCUUUCACUGGAUGCCGCGUCGCAGACUGAGGACUGCAGUGCGCCAUUAGGCAUUACCCCCGGGUAACGAGCACUUAGGAUGCUGGUAGAAUGGGUUUCAACGACCCGUCUUGAAACACGGACCAAGGAGUCUAACAUGCCUGCGAGUGUUUGAGUGUCAAACUCGAGCGCGGAAUGAAAGUGAAUGAAGGUGGGAUCUGUCAAAGGUGCACCAUCGACCGGUCUUGAAGUUUACGGAUGGAUCUGAGUAAGAGCAUGUAUGUUGGGACCCGAAAGAUGGUGAACUAUGCCUGAAUAGGGUGAAGUCAGGUGAAAACCUGAUGGAGGCUCGUAGCGGUUCUGACGUGCAAAUCGAUCGUCAAAUUUGGGUAUAGGGGCGAAAGACUAAUCGAACCAUCUAAUGGCUGGUUCCUGCCGAAGUUUCCCUCAGGAUAGCAGAAGCUCAUAUUAGUUCGAUGAGGUAGAGCGAAUGAUUAGAGGUCUUGGGGAUGUAACAUCCUUAACCUAUUCUCAAACUUCCAAUAUGUCGGAUGCCGUUGUCGCUUAAUUGGACGACGGCUUUUGAAUAAGAGUUUCUAGUGGGCCAUUUUUGGUAAGCAGAACUGGCGAUGCGGGAUGAACCGAACGUGGAGUUAAGGUGCCGGAGUGGACGCUCAUCAGACACCACAAAAAGUGUUGAUUCAUCUAGACAGUUGGACGGUGGCCAUGGAAGUCGGAACCCGCUAAGGAUCGUGUAACAACGCACCAACCGAAUGAAUCAGCCUUGAAAAUGGAUGGCGCUUAAGCGUCCCACCCAUACUCCACCGUUGGCGUUGGAUCAUACGUCAACGAGUAGGCAGGCGUGGAGGUUUUGUGUUGAAGCCUUGGACGUAAGUCUGGGUCGAACAGCCUCUAGUGCAGAUCUUGG